Oreochromis aureus is the source of this 2305-nucleotide long non-coding RNA. The record is from Ensembl. Lineage: Eukaryota; Metazoa; Chordata; Actinopteri; Cichliformes; Cichlidae.
UGCCUUUAAGAGCUUUAUUAUUGGUUUUACUGCUUGUCUGCAGUAUGUUUUUAGCAAAUUCACAUUAAGUAUAGAGCAGUACAUGUAUUCGUAUACAAGGAACAGUGAUUUUCAGAUGUGUACAGUUCAGUCCUGGUUCUGCUAUGAGUCACUAUGAGCUACAUUACCAGGGCUUUACAGUCAAAAGAAAGCCUUUUACACACAACCCCAUUUCAUGGUUACUUUUAGCCCUCGGAAUCAACAAAUAUUAUUCAGGGAAAAACAUCCAUAUUCAAUUGUAGCUUCUGAUAGAAGGACACACAUUCAUUUUAUUGUGUUUACCAUCCUUUGGUAUAAUGAAGAAAGAGCUUUCAAGGAAGGCCAUUCUAUUGCGGUGGAUAUCAUUGAGUACAACUAUUAAACUAAAAUAAUCCCCUUAAGCAUCAUAAAAACAAAGCAGAGAAGAGGCCCUACAGUUUUUCAGGUGCUCUGGUUCUUGCAGUUUCCAAGAAGAAAAAUACUUAAUUAACCAGAGCAAAGUUUAUAUUGACAGUUUCGUGUGAGUCAUUUUGUUAUUGGUCAGGAAAACUUGUUAGGUCUUAGGCAAAGAGCUUUAACUCUCAGAUUAGCAAAAGAACUGGUGCAAAUUUUUAAGACAUUCAAGACAAAUGAGACUUAAGUCACCCUAUCAGCCUAGUACCCCCUUGAAAGAUGUGCCUUUAUGAUAUAUAACAUAUGCAGUGCAAUAGUAUAUCACAUAUACACAUGUAACAGUAUUUAUGAAUAUUGGUACAACUAUCAGUUAGUGGUUAAUGUAACAGAUUAUUAACCGAUUAUAUAUAACUGAUAAUUACAUAUAAUCGAUUAAUGACUUUCAAACGUACUAAUUUAGGAAGAGUACUUUUGAAUUAAAUAAUCAGUUAAAUGUUUUACCAAGGCAAAAUACUCUCAUCUUAUUACAGCUAGCAGGCAGCUAACUUAGCUUAGCAGGCAGCUAGCUUAGCUCACAAGUUUAAUCAAUAACAAUAAAAAAGUACCCUAGAUUAGCAUUCGCAAUGUUUAUUUUUCUAGACAGUAUUUCAACUAAAUUUUGUUCAAUUUGCAGAAAGGCCUAAAGUUAAACAAAAUUACAUGCAGCUUAUGUAAAAUUUAAAACCAUCAAUAGGAAUGUGUAGAUGCAGACGUGGACGUUUUCCCGCCACUGAUGUUUUUUUUCCUUUUGUAGGUAUGUGUACAGGUGUAUUGUAUAUCAUGUGACAUUGUUUCACUUUGUAUUUGUUGCAUUUUAAUGUGUUCACUGUAUGUGGUGAAUACCUUGGCUGCCAGUCUAAGAUCCAGUGGCUUAGCAUGAACUGGAACAGCUAGCUUGUUUUACAUUUCUCUCUUUGAAUUUCCUUUAUUGGUUGAUGCAUCUACAUUGAAUUGAAAACACAAAAAGUUUGUUUUUAAAUGUGUGACAGAAAUUGAAGGAGCUUGGCUUGACUGGUCUAGUUCUGUCUAAAGAUAAUAGCUGAAGCAGUAUGGUGCACAACCUCCUGCAACAACGAAGCUACUUAUUUUUAGGUUUUACCAGAGGCAACAUUUGUUUUGUUCCAGUCUUUGUAGCCUCAUUUAUUACAUUCUAUAUAGUAAUACCCAUAGUAUCGCUCAUGGCAUCUAAUUCUAAACAAGAAAGGGGAUGAAACAUUUUCAAAAUGUUAUAUUAUUUUUUCGUUUUAGUAUUGUUUCUUUAGUGUCCCUAAAAUCUAAUCUUUUGAAUGAUAUUGCAGCUUAUUAUUUUAAUGAUGCUUUAACCUAAGGGUUACUUGGCUGGGUGUCUAACUGGAACAUUAGAAUCUGUUUAAUCCUGAACCAUAUUAAAUGUAGAUUGAAUUUAGUCUUUUUCUUUAUGUUAGUAAAACUGAAUAAUUUGUUAACUGCCUUAAUGAGGCAUGGCUGUUCUUUUGUUCCUUUUGUCAACAGAAUUAUAAUAUAGUCCUGUUCACAUACAGUAAGUAUUAUACAGUGGCCCCUUCUAGGCUUUAACUAAGAUAAAAUGUAGAAAAAGACAAAUUAUUUACAACUGAAAUCAAUAAAAAUAAUAUUUACAAGUUAUAAAAAAAAAUACAGUAUGGUUAAAAUCAAAAAUCACAUCAGCAGCCGCCUGGAAAGACUCAAAGGCAUUUGUGAUGCAAAAUGUAAAUACAUAAUUACACAUUUAAGUGCUACAAUCUAUAGGACAAAACAGAAAUAUAAUACCAUGUACAGUUGUUAUUUGAGAAUUAAAUACAACAACCCUUACAGAGUAAUGAGAAUACCUUCAUUUAAAGUAACACUACAGCAUGAA